RNAcentral lists this long non-coding RNA (2811 nucleotides) under Calidris pugnax (ruff). RNAcentral's name for it is "lncRNA (ENSCPUG00000010747.1)". The record is from RNAcentral. Lineage: Eukaryota; Metazoa; Chordata; Aves; Charadriiformes; Scolopacidae.
UGUCCAGGGGGCGCCCACACAUCUGGGGAGGGGUCCCAGGUGUCCAGGGGGGACCCAGGUGUCCGGGGGGCACCCACACAUCUGGGGAGGGGUCCCAGGUGUCCGGGGGGGGACCCAGGUGUCCAGGGAGGGGUCCCAGGUGUCCAGGGGGCACCCACACAUCUGGGGAGGGGUCCCAGGUGUCCGGGGGGGGACCCAGGUGUCCAGGGAGGGGUCCCAGGUGUCCAGGGGGCACCCACACAUCUGGGGAGGGGUCCCAGGUGUCCAGGGAGGGGUCCCAGGUGUCCAGGGGGGGCACCCAGGUGUCCAGGGGGGGGACCCAGGUGUCCGGGGGGGGGACCCAGGUGUCCGGGGGGGGACGCAGGCCUCUGGGCCACCUACCCUUGGCCGCCGGCGUCAAGAAGCUCUGGGUGGGCUCCAGGAAGAGGUCGAGAUCUUCUGUGGGGUGGGAAGGACCUUGAGAAAGGACCCGGGUGUCCACGCGGGGGGGGACCCAGGUGACCAGGGCGCCCCCACUUACCCUCGGUGUCCCUGUCACUCCCGGAGGCCAAAUUUGGGUCCACGUGUGGGGAUUUGGGGGUGGAAACAUCUGGCGGCACAGCUGGAUCCCUGCCCCUCGCUGAGGGCUCCCCGCUGCAUUGCUGGCACCCAACAUCUGGAUUCGGGGCCUCCACAUCUGGAUUUGGGGCUAAAUCGCAGCGGUUUGGGACCAUUCCUUCCACACUCGUGUCACCCUCAGUUUUUAAGAGAAAGCCCUGCCUUUUUCGGGACAAUUUCCAGUGUUUUGGGUCCAUCUUCUCCACGGCAGCGUCACUGCCUGUUUCAACAUCUGGAUGGGGAUGAUUUUGGAAGCGGAGGUGGCUCCGCAGGCUCCGAACAUCUGGAGUGGGGGCCACCUCCUCCACGUCGGUGUCGCUGCUGCUCCGGGGGCUUGUGGGAGAGGGAACAUCUGGAUUUGGGGGUGUCAUCGCCACAUCUGGCUCACCAGAUGCCCUUUGACAUCUUUGCACUGUCCCAACAUCUGGAAGGACAACAUUGUCCUCAACAUCUCUAUCGCUGUCCACACCCAGGACCAGGCACUGGGCUUUGGGAGCUCCAACAUCUGGAGCUGGGAACGUCACCUUCACAUCUGGAUCAUCCUUGGUCCGCAUCGGCCCCUUGGGAUCAACAUCUGGAGCAGUGGCCACCUGAGCAACUGUAUCCAUGCCCUCAUGGCCUGUCCCACAUGGGUUUGGAGGUCCAACGUUGGGAAGGGCAUUGAGGUCCUCCACACCUGUAUCGCUGUCACCAUUGGAGGCCACCGAGCCAUGGCUGAGGCCACCAACAUCUGGAUUCGGAGUCUCCAUCACCACAGUUGGGUCCUUCCGGGUGUUUUGGGGUGUUUUGUGGCUUUUUGGGCGAAGAACACGUUGAUUCAGGUCUUCUUCCUCCACAUCUGUGUCACUGUCCACUUCCAGGUUCUGACGCUCACUUGGGGGAUUUCCAACAUCUGGAUUUGGGUUCUGUGUCUCUACAGCUCGAUCUUUGCGUGGUUUUUUGGCAAUUCUAUGGAUUUUUUUACGCCCAACAUCUGGAUUCCCUUCAUUCUCCUCCACAUCUGUAUCGCUGUCACCAUUGGAGGCCACCGAGCCACGGCUGAGGCCACCAACAUCUGGAUUCGGUGUCUCCAUCACCACAGUUGGGUCUUUCCGGGUGUUUUGGGGUGUUUUGUGGCUUUUUGGGUGAAGAACAAAAAGGUCUUCUUCCUCCACAUCCGUGUCACUGUCCACUUCCAGGUCCUGACGCUCAUUUGGGGCAUUUUCAACAUCUGAUUUUGGGUUCUGCGUCUCCACAUCUGGAUCUCUGCAUUUGGGGGGGGCAAUUCUAUGGGUUUUUUUACGCCCAACAUCUGGAUUCCCCUCAUUCUCCUCCACGUCUGUAUCGCUGUCCACCACAAGGGUCCAUUGUUUGUUUUGGGGUGGAUCUGGCCUCUCCGUCUCCACGUCUGGGUUUCUGGGUACAUUUUGGGUUGCUCCACGGGUUUUUUUACUCCCAACAUCUGGAUUGGAAAUGUCCUCUUCCACAUCUGUAUCACUCUCCACGAGGAGACUCCAGCGUCCUUCAACAUUGCGAACUGUGGUCUCUGUCUUCACAUCUGGGCCUCUGGGGGCUCUUCUGGGGCUUUCUGAACACCCAACAUCUGGACUGGCAGUGUCCUCCUCCACAUCUGUAUCACUGUCCACCACAAGCAUCUGGUGGCCCUUUUGUGAGUCUUCAACAUCUACACGUUGCGUCUCCACCUCAAUAAUGUUUUGGGUCGUUUGAUGGGGUUUAGGGUGUCCAACAUCUGGAUUGUCUUCAUUCUCCUCCACAUCUGUGUCACUGUCCACCAGGAGCAUCUGAUGCCCAUUUUGUGAACCUUCAACAUCUGCACUGUGGGUCCCCAUCUCGCUAUUCCAGUUUUUAGACAUAUUUUGGGUCUUUUGAUGGGUUUGGGGGCACCCAACAUCUGGACUGGCUCCAUUCUCUUCCACAUCUGUAUCACUGUCCACCACGAGCAUCUGGUGUCUGUUUCUGGGCCCUUCAACAGCUGCGUUUGAGCUCUCCAUCUCCACAUCUGUAUCACUGUCCACAACUGUCCGGCAUCCAUUUUUGGGACCUCCAACAUCUGGAUGGGAGGUCUCCAUCUCCAAGCCUGUUUUUUGGGCCACGUAUGGGUCCUUUCUACAUAUUUUUGGGCACACAGUGUCUGGAAGGACCUCAACCUCCUCCACAUCUGUGUCGCUGUCCACCACAAUCAUCCGACAUCGAUUUUUGGUACCUCCAACAUCU